UCUUCUUCCUUGCUUGUUAAAUUGGCAUGUUCAUUGCCUAAUGAGUCCUCCAUCUGCUUUAGCUGUUUGUCCUUUUCUGCAAUGACUUUGUGCAGUUCUUCUGCCAGGACUGAAGCUGAGGUCUGGGCUGCCAUUUGUGAAUGAAGCUUCUGAAGCUGAGCGUUCAAAGCAUCGUUCUGCUCUACCAGCUCCUGCACCCGCAAUUGCAUAGAGUCCUCCUUAGAAGCUCUCUUUUGCUCAUUCUCAAUCAGCUGCAACAUCCUCUGCUCCAGCUGCUGUUUUGACACCACCACAUCGGUAAGUUUACUGUGCAAGCUCUGGAUUUCGUUGUCUUUGGCGACAAGCUUAUUUUGCACAUCUUGUUGUGCUGCUUCGUGCUCUGCUGUUCUUUUCCUGAGAUAAACCUGGAUUUCUUCCCAUCGUCUCUCUGCUUCCUGCUGCUGGACCUUUAGCUGAGCCACUGCCUGCUCUGCAUUCUUCUUCUGGAGCUCCUCUUGCUGCAGCUUGCUGUUCUUCUCUCCCAGUUCAUUCACCAGCCUGGCGCAGUCCUGACGCAGUUUGUUCAGUUCAGCUGCCUGCUUGCUCUCCAUUUGAUUGGUAGAAGUGCUGACAGCAUCUCUCAGGAUAGUAUUCUCCUGCUUCAGGUGGCUUAUUUCUGCCUCCAUCUGCUCACAGCGUUGCUGGAACUUUAUCUUCAUCUGCUGAGAUUCCUGGUAGCUAACGUGUAUUUUACUCUGGAAGGUGCCAUGCUCCUUCUCCAGUGCGUUGAUGCGUUCCCUCAUUUUCGCUGUAAGCAAGCCGUUCCUCUCUUUUUCUGCAACCAGCUCCUGAGUUAACUGCUUGCACUGCUCCUUUGCAACAGCUGCCUCCUCCUUCACUGCAGCGAGCAUUUUCUCCUUGUCUUGCAGCUGAUGUAUAGCUGCAGCCGACUCUGCCUUGCUGGCCUUUUGUAAGACGUCAUGAAUUGCACCAGACUUCUCCUUUAACACCUCCACUACACAACGGGCCUCAUCUUCAGUGAAGAUCAUAUUCUUCAUGGCCAUUACGAAGUCUUUAAAUUUCACUUCAGCAUUCUCUUUAUCAGUUUCAUUCUUCAUUUUCUUGCCACCGCUUUUCUGGAUCCCUUCGUUCAUGUUUUGUUUUGCUACUUCCACCACUUCUCUCUUUUCCAAAGCGCCAGCAUCAGAGUUAUCCACCAAAGGAAUGUAGGUAGUGGGCUGAAUAAGAGGUUCAUCCACCAAAACUUUCUGCUUCUUUGCAGAGACUUUCUUCUUUCCUGAUACAUUUUCUUGUUUUACCUCCUGGUGGAGCAGCACAGGUUCUUGCUUUUUGGCAGGAGAUGCAACAGAAUCAGUCUUAGUAUCUUGAUCAUCAUUUUUCUGCUUCUUCUGCCCAGGCUUCUUCUUAGCUGCUGCUGGUUCGGAUGGUGGAGUGGGCUGUUUUGUAACAGGGACUGGUUCUACUUUCUUGCCUGAAGACUUGGAUCCUUCCGACUCCUUAGUUACGUGAUCAUCUUGAGCUGCCUUCUGCUUCUUCUCCUUCUUCUUCCGUUCUCUGAUGCCAGCAGA
RNAcentral lists this long non-coding RNA (1568 nucleotides) under Gallus gallus (chicken). The record is from RNAcentral. Lineage: Eukaryota; Metazoa; Chordata; Aves; Galliformes; Phasianidae.